Molecule: long non-coding RNA, 426 nt
Filed under: Setaria viridis
Lineage: Eukaryota; Viridiplantae; Streptophyta; Magnoliopsida; Poales; Poaceae
Description: long non-coding RNA (SVIR_LNC008717)
Source: RNAcentral
CAUUUCUACUGGCUACGUCCGGCAGCAGCAGACGCUGGGCGAGUUCAAGCAGUUGCCGCCCUUGCCGAACAACGCCACGUUCCUGCACCAGCUGCUGCAGUCCGGCAGGAAGUUAUCGCACGGGCCCAUGCACUGGUACACCGCCGCCCCUGAUGAUCACCAUAACACGGCAAUCUCUCACGGUGAAGAAAGUUGAAAGUUGAAGAAAGAAAAGCUUGCAUGCAAAAGCAUUGGGCAUGUUUUAGGCGUACCAUGGGAUGAAAGAGUAGCGACGGUGAGCACGACGACGACGAGGAUCCUGCAGAGGACGGCCGAGGAAGAUGAUGACCCCAUAGAAGGUGACGGCAGUUUGACCGUAAUACCGUGGUUCUGCUUGGACUGUCAAAUUGGUAACGGAGAGGUAAUCUAUCUCCGGCGUUUUGGUAC